GGGGACUUGAAAUUUGUAUUGGGAGAUUGCCAUAACAUUUUUGGUGCUGUUAAGUUGUCCUGCAGCCGUUUGACACUAGUUCUAACUUCCUUUCAGAUGCAGACAGUUCAAAUCGGUGGCAGAGGGCACCAGCCCUGGGUGAUGAUCUUCCCAUGAGCAGGAGGUCCAGACAGAUAGCAGCAGUCAAGGCCCAGGGUGCCAGGUGAGCAGUGGACAGAAGCAGUUGUUCUUGCUCAGGUCUCAAUUUUUGGUGCAACUGUAAGCAUCCAUUCUUGUUUUUCUGCUUUAGGGAAUCCACUUGGAGUAUGCCUAGCAGCUGUCACCAACCGGCUGAUGGCCCGGGUUUCCUGUGCUUGUGAACCCUCUGGAAGCAUUACAGGACUCUGUGAUGAAGCCUUGAAAUUUUGUAUUUCAAGAUGGCAUCGGGGUAGCCUUUGGCAGUGGCCAAGGAGGCAGACCCUACAAUGACGGUGGCAGCCUCUGAGCAUGGCCAAAGUGUGCAGCCCGAGCAACUGGGCAUUCUUAGGAGAAUGCUGAGCAAGGGAACACAGCCCCGUGACCACAGGACCUUCCCAGCAGGCGAGGCAGCCUUCUCAACCCCAGAUGCUGGAGAGAUAAGUCAAGGGCUAAGGCCCACAGAGGGGAAUCAGCUUUGUGGGCGGGGAUGUGCAAGAAGUGCCCCUCUAGGCCACUUAAAGGGAAAGUGUCUGUUUAGAUCACAGUGCUGAGGUGCACAGGGCAGAGCAGUUCCGGUGUGUGUCCCGUCACUUGUCUCUGGUGCGUUCUGUGUUCUUUGGGUCUCUCGGUCCUUGCAGACGUUGUUCUCAUCUAAAGCUCUCUCUCCCUCUCCUGUCCCCUGGUUUGUCACGUCCUGUGUGUUGUCACGGGUGUGUGCCCACAUUUGUCCCACAACUGCUCUGCCCUGGUGCAUAGCUUGUAACAGCACAAGUUCUGGGGACUUGAAAUUUGUAUUGGGAGAUUGCCAUAACAUUUUUGGUGCUGUUAAGUUGUCCUGCAGCCGUUUGACACUAGUUCUAACUUCCUUUCAGAUGCAGACAGUUCAAAUCGGUGGCAGAGGGCACCAGCCCUGGGUGAUGAUCUUCCCAUGAGCAGGUCAGUCAUUGUUUGCAUUUGCAGGGGAAGCGUAAAUGGGUGACUGUGUUACAGCGGUGUUCUUUGCCUUUAUUUUUAGGAGGUCCAGACAGAUAGCAGCAGUCAAGGCCCAGGGUGCCAGGUGAGCAGUGGACAGAAGCAGUUGUUCUUGCUCAGGUCUCAAUUUUUGGUGCAACUGUAAGCAUCCAUUCUUGUUUUUCUGCUUUAGGGAAUCCACUUGGAGUAUGCCUAGCAGCUGUCACCAACCGGCUGAUGGCCCGGGUUUCCUGUGCUUGUGAACCCUCUGGAAGCAUUACAGGACUCUGUGAUGAAGCCUUGAAAUUUUGUAUUUCAAGAUGGCAUCGGGGAAGCCUUUGGCAGUGGCCAAGGAGGUGCGGCAAGUCACUGAGGUAGGGAGCGGGAGCCAAGGUCCGCUUAGGUUUCAGCAAUGCCGAGUCACUUUGUCUCUCCUUAACCCAGGCAGACCCUACAAUGACGGUGGCAGCCUCUGAGCAUGGCCAAAGUGUGCAGCCCGAGCAACUGGGCAUUCUUAGGAGAAUGGU
This 1655-nucleotide long non-coding RNA is filed under the name Taeniopygia guttata (zebra finch). Its description in RNAcentral is "lncRNA (ENSTGUG00000023221.1)". The record is from RNAcentral. Lineage: Eukaryota; Metazoa; Chordata; Aves; Passeriformes; Estrildidae.